This 270-nucleotide small RNA is filed under the name Pseudomonas proteolytica. Its description in RNAcentral is "Pseudomonas sRNA P17". It matches the Rfam family "Pseudomonas sRNA P17". The record is from RNAcentral. Lineage: Bacteria; Pseudomonadati; Pseudomonadota; Gammaproteobacteria; Pseudomonadales; Pseudomonadaceae.
GCAAAGAACAAGUGGCACGCUCCAGUGAUUAUCUCGAUGGGCAACUGACCUUUCGCGAGCGCCUGCUGAUGCGCCAUCACCUGAUGUUCUGUGCCAACUGCCGGCGCUUCAUUCGCCAGAUGCGGCUGAUGCAAGCCACCUUGCGCAUCCUGCCCGAACCCGAGGUGCCGGAUGCACAAGGGUUGGCCGAACGCCUGGCCUCGGAGCUCAAGCGCAACUCCUGACCGCCUUCCGCUGGACCCAACGCCCGCGACGUCGCCAUCGCGGGCU